Physeter macrocephalus (sperm whale) is the source of this 608-nucleotide long non-coding RNA. RefSeq lists it as uncharacterized. NCBI's taxonomy places the organism in Eukaryota, Metazoa, Chordata, Mammalia, Artiodactyla, Physeteridae. The transcript has 3 exons. The record is from RefSeq and is a predicted model, not a curated record.
AGAGUAACGGGGGCCGCGGGUCAGUCAUCAGGGGAGGGAGCCUCAAAUUUGAACCUGGAAUUUGGAGGGAGAGCCUCAGAUAGGACAUAGAAAGGGACCCUGGUUUUGGGGGCCACGAUCUUGACGGGUGAGUACGUUCUCGGAAGAUAAGCCAAGAGCUAGGACUCAACAACGCAGACGGGCUGGCCCGGUUUGUGCCAGGUCUUUGGAGAUGGAAAGGAGUGAGCUCAGCCUUUGAAAGUAAGCCUGUUUCAAUGUUCACAUGUACAGUGUUUUCUUUUUCAUCUGCUUCACCUUCUAGAACCCUGUUUGAGCGGCCCAGUCCGCUGUAGCUGUAUUGACGGGAACACGGAGAAGGCAGUGGCGCCCAGGCUUGGGCAAGAACUUUCAAGAAUAUCCGAUGUCACCAGCAGUUCAGGGCCAGUCUUCCGGACCGUCAUAUCUUUGCAAGGCCAAUUCCGGGCACGGAUCCCAGCUGACCAUAUUCUCUUUCGUGGCUCUACAACACUGAUCAGAUGAUGAUAUUUAGCACAUUACCGAGUGACUCGAUCUGUUUACCUGACCAGGUAUUCUCCGGACAAUUUCUAAAAGAAAACAACGUCCCACAA